Long non-coding RNA from Mauremys mutica (yellowpond turtle), 1103 nucleotides. RefSeq lists it as uncharacterized. The record is from RefSeq and is a predicted model, not a curated record. Lineage: Eukaryota; Metazoa; Chordata; Testudines; Geoemydidae. The transcript is spliced from 5 exons.
CCAGCUGAGAAGCAGAGAGGCUCAGGCUGCCUGGGAGAGCAAGCAGGGUACCUGAGGUGGAGCAGAAGAGCUCUUGCCUGGAAAGGUUGGAACUAAACUGUGGCCUGGCAAGAGUCACAUGAAAAGGUGGACUAUCACAGGACCAUAGCAACCAUCAGCAGGGGGGGCUAGACAAGAAAGAGCAACUACACCAUGCCCAGCCACAAGGAGGCACUCCACUGAGUGAGAGAAACCAGGGAGGAAGCAAGAGCUGUUGUCGUUCUCACUUCUGAGAUAUCCCUGGAAAGGUACAGGCUGCACUAGAGGAUGAGGGAACUCCUGGGAAGAAGUAGGCUGUUGGCCCCCUUUCUGGAGAGGAAGCACUGGGAAAGAUUUUCAUUACCCCAAAAGGAGUUGAAACUACUGUACCAGAGUGAAAACCUCAGGUAGCAGCCACAUCUGAAGGCAACAGCUUCAGCCAGGACCUGAAGACAAACUGAUGAAGUCUCUUCAGAACCUUUCAGCUCAUCUUCUGCUGCAAUAUCUCCAUCAGAGCAAGUGAGAUUUUUGUCUCUCUACCCACUGUUUUGAGUAGAAGGAAUGGUUGAUGCAAAACGAGACUGAUAUCCUCCCUGACCCCUGUGCAAGCACAGGAAUUACAUUUGAGUCUCCAACAUGACAACACAAACAAUUACCAUUGACUCCAUUUGUCUCUUUUCUGUAAGAUUUCUGUAUGACAGCAGCUUGUUUUUUACUUGGCAUCUGUUUUCUACUAUUGAUAGAAAUGUGCUAUGUUAUCAGCAAAAUCACCAAGCAAGUGGCAUUUUCUGUACUUCUACAUUUGUUGUUCAACUGCACUUGUCAGAUCACACUUGUGCUGCUAGGCUAAUCCUUUGCUAAAGACAAGGAGGGAGAAAAUACUUAUCUCUGCCUGCCUCCCUCUUCUCUCAUCUCAACGGCCUAACUCUUUGUCUUCUGAAAGGAAAUCUAUUGCCUGCAAUAGCUCCACUGUAAGCCAGGUAAGCUUUUCUGAGAUGCCUAACGUGCACCUGAUGUCAGAGAAACUCCUUGUGAAUGCAAUCAAAUGAAGUGUUGAUCAUUUAUUAAGUUCAGAGUAACUUGUA